Molecule: long non-coding RNA, 638 nt
Filed under: Nicotiana benthamiana
Lineage: Eukaryota; Viridiplantae; Streptophyta; Magnoliopsida; Solanales; Solanaceae
Description: long non-coding RNA (NBEN_LNC022809)
Source: RNAcentral
UUGGCAUCUAUGGUGAGGGCAAAUUUGAGUGGAGAUAUGCGUAAGUCUACCAGGUUUUCCUGUCAUACUCCAAAGAUAUCAGUAUUUAGUCCCACCUGUUUCGUGACUCUUCUACUGUAGAUUUCUGUUCUAGCCUCUGGAUGAUUCUGUUUCAAUUUAUCCACAAUAUUAGAAAUGUCAUGAGAGCACAAGCAUGUUGUUAAUUUGAGUGUUAAUUCUUGCAGCUAUCCUUAUUUGGCAGUUGUUCUUAAUUUUAGCCAGACCUGGGCUCUAUAUUGCCUUGUGCAGUUUUAUUCAGUCACCAAGAAUAAAUUAGCACCGAUUAAGCCAUUGGCGAAGUUUCUUGUAUUCAAGUCGAUUGUAUUCUUGACGUGGUGGCAAGGUAUAGCUGUUGCCUUUCUUUUGUCAUUUGGAGCAUUCAAAGGUUCUUUGGCACAACUAUUGAAGACACGAAUCCAGGACUAUAUCAUCUGUCUUGAGGUCAGUUUUGUUUAUGUAAUUAUCUUUCUAAUCUAACAAUUGCCUGAUUUCUACUUCAUGGGCCAGCAGAGGUUCAUGAAAAAAAAUGAUUAAUUUUGUUGUAGAAUAUGUGCUCUUUUUCAGUUUGCAUCAAUGAGCUGCUGGAGCAGUCUGGCUGG